This 356-nucleotide unclassified non-coding RNA is filed under the name soil metagenome. RNAcentral's name for it is "partial contains 5.8S ribosomal RNA, internal transcribed spacer 2, and large subunit ribosomal RNA". The stretch from base 1 to 121 matches the Rfam family "5.8S ribosomal RNA", at positions 35 to 154 of the family's 154-position model. The record is from RNAcentral.
GAUGAAGAACGUAGUGAAAUGCGAUAAGUAAUGCGAAUUGCAGAAUUUCCGUGAGUCAUCGAAUCUUUGAACGCACAUUGCGCCCACUGGUAUUCCGGUGGGCAUGUCUGUUCGAGCGUCAUUUCAACCCUCGAACCCCUCCGGGGGGUCGGCGUUGGGGAUCGGCCCUGCCUCUUGGCGGUGGCCGUCUCCGAAAUACAGUGGCGGUCUCGCCGCAGCCUCUCCUGCGCAGUAGUUUGCACACUCGCAUCGGGAGCGCGGCGCGUCCACAGCCGUUAAACACCCAACUUCUGAAAUGUUGACCUCGGAUCAGGUAGGAAUACCCGCUGAACUUAAGCAUAUCAAUAAGCGGAGGA